GAUGAAGAACGCAGCAAAAUGCGAUAAGUAAUGUGAAUUGCAGAAUUCAGUGAAUCAUCGAAUCUUUGAACGAACAUUGCGCCCGCUGGUAUUCCGGCGGGCAUGCCUGUUCGAGCGUCAUUUCAACCCUCAAGCCCCCGGGUUUGGUGUUGGGGAUCGGCUCUGCCCUUCUGGGCGGUGCCGCCCCCGAAAUACAUUGGCGGUCUCGCUGCAGCCUCCAUUGCGUAGUAGCUAACACCUCGCAACUGGAACGCGGCGCGGCCAUGCCGUAAAACCCCAACUUCUGAAUGUUGACCUCGGAUCAGGUAGGAAUACCCGCUGAACUUAAGCAUAUCAAUAAGCGGAGGA
This 348-nucleotide unclassified non-coding RNA is filed under the name soil metagenome. RNAcentral's name for it is "partial contains 5.8S ribosomal RNA, internal transcribed spacer 2, and large subunit ribosomal RNA". The stretch from base 1 to 120 matches the Rfam family "5.8S ribosomal RNA", at positions 35 to 154 of the family's 154-position model. The record is from RNAcentral.